AUCCCUACUAUUCAGCAUCAAGAAAGACAGCAAAGAUGGCCAAGAUCACAACCCUUUUCUUGACGUCUCUCCUCCUACUCUGCACAAUCUCAUCCUGCUUUGCUCGCCCCGAGCCAGCGUUUCUCGAUGUUACUCCGGUCGACACUAAACAUGCGGGUGUUGAAACCAAGCGUGAUGAUGAGUUGUUGGACGACAGCUGCAAAGGUGUUGGGGAAGAAGAAUGCUUGGUGAGGAGGACUUUGGCUGCCCACAUCGACUAUAUCUACACCCAAAAGCAUCAUCCUUGAACUUAAUUUCCUUUGUUGGUGAUGGGAAAAAAAAAAUGAAAGGUUUGAACAGUUUAGUGCGCCUCUACUUUGUUGUGAAUUAUGAAACAUCUACUGUGGUGGGAAAUUAGCUCAUCACUGAGAGCGGAUUCCGAGGGAGUCUACUUCUGAGAGUUCGUUUAUUAUUUGCAAACAUACGUAUCUUCAGCCCUACCAAUCUCUUUUGAGAUUAGUUUAUUGAGUGCCUAGCAAUCAUGUUUUUUCUUCUUCUGCUUCUUUUGUUGUGUAAUAAGGUUCUCGAGUUCUAAUAGUGAAAGAGGUAAACGAUUGCUUUGAGC
Molecule: long non-coding RNA, 604 nt
Organism: Eucalyptus grandis
Lineage: Eukaryota; Viridiplantae; Streptophyta; Magnoliopsida; Myrtales; Myrtaceae
Exons: 2
Source: RefSeq, a predicted model, not a curated record